This is a long non-coding RNA of Zingiber officinale, 3891 nucleotides long. RefSeq lists it as uncharacterized. The record is from RefSeq and is a predicted model, not a curated record. The transcript is spliced from 3 exons. Lineage: Eukaryota; Viridiplantae; Streptophyta; Magnoliopsida; Zingiberales; Zingiberaceae.
UUUAGUUCAGUGAUGGAGCGUAGUGUGAAUUCUGGCACUGCACCACCGGAGGCCACAGCUCAAGAUCGCCGAUUUGCUAAUCCUUCUUCAUGGAAUCCCCGCAGACCGUCGUCCUCGCAUAGCAAUUCCGCUUUCGUUCUCCGUAUUGCAUGACCUGCUUUUGUUUACUUCUGGCGGAAUGGCCGUUUUGAUCGCAGUGGAUCAGGCGAGGAGGGGAAGCUUUGUAUGGGGGACUGGGAAGAAAAGGACUGGGCUCAUAGGAUCCAGUUCCUCUCCGGUGUCAAGAUAGUUCAGGACGCAAUUGGUGGUUGGCAUUGCUUGGCCGUGGACAACCAGGGCCGGGCUUAUGCUUGGUUCAUGCGAAAAAUGGAAAAGCUUUUGCGUUAGAAAUUGUGUUCAGAAGCUUUAGCUAGUAUAAGGCGGAGUGUUAGACCAUUAACUAUGAUUUUCUGCUUCGAAAACUCAAUCACAGUUGCUGCAAUUAGCGUCUUGCCUAUCAGGUUAGCUAUUUUGAAUUAAAUCUCUUAGAGAGUAAUGAUCUGGAUGAUUACUAGUUCAUAAAGCCAUUGGAAUAAAAGGAAUUAAAUCUCUUUUUCCAAUUAGCUUCCUAGAACCCAUUGGAAUAAAAGGAAAACUUCACCAUGUUCUCCAUAAUUUGGUAGUUCUAAAGACCUUGUUCAGGAAGGGCAUCUCUUGUGCUUCAAAGUUAGCUUUAUACCCUAAAAAUCCAAUGUAUAAUAGAUUUUAUAGCUAUUAUAAUUUAUAUAGAUGACUGAUUUCUGGAUUUCCAAAUUCAAGCAUGCACAUAAAAAUUUCUAGUGACUUGAUUGAUGUAUUCAGCUCAUCCUUUUAGUUUAAUAUUUCUUUAGUGAAUUUGUACUUAGUCAUGUCUCUGUAAAGCAAUCAUAUCGGAGUAAGGUUGAGCCUUCAAAUAAUUCAAAGUUAAAAGAUACUUACAGGAGGAAGUCCAAAGUUUGCAUAUUGAAUUAAUUUAGUUGGGAUUAACUACACUGCUCUUAUACGGCCAUUGAUUCUCUCUAAGUCUAUAUUGGUAACAACAGAACUUUAGUAGACGUAUCUAUGUUCUGAAGGUUGUCGACAUAGUUUUCUGUUAGAUGUCAGAGCCUAACACAACCCUUCACCUUUUCUUCUGGGUUUGGGAUAAGCUGAAUACUCCAAGCAUACAUAUCAUAAAUCUGACCAGCUAAUUUUAAUUGUACCACCUUUUAAUUUGGCCAGCUUAUAAUGAUUGAAGCUUCUUCAUCAGCACAUUAACCAUAACACAUUUGAUUAAUGUCAAAUCGAACCCUAGAAGAUACUCAGCUCUUAAAAAAAAUAUAGAUACAGAAAGGAACUAGCCUGCAUUGGUAAUGUCAAGCAUAGCUCACCUUUUCCUAUUGAAGAAGAUGAAAAAUCAGAUAAAAGGAACUUACUGGAGAUUGAUAGACCCAAAGUAGAUAAAAGUGAUCAAAUGGUACAAAGUGAGAGCAAGUUCUUCUCCUUGUACCUGAAAUAUAGCAGACCUUAGCUGCAAUGAUAUCAUAUCUAUGUUUAUUGCAUAACAGAUAAAGUAUGUCAUAUCAAAUUCAACAAAGUGACAUCUUACUUUGUUCUUAAAUAAAAAACUGCAGACAAUCAAAAGAAUAUCUAUUUUGUCAAGUUCUGCUAAAUGCUAAGUGCUGCAAAUCUGAUGGCAGCCUGAUUUUCAAGUUCAUCAACAUUUGACUGUCUGGCUUGCAAUUUAUGGACAUUUUAGUGCGCUUCUAUCUUGUCGACUUUAGGCACAUUUUACUCUCUAGCUUGCAGAUUCCCAAGUGCCUGGCUGAUUAUGGUGUUGUGUUUUCCAGUUAGUUGCUUUUCUCUUUCUAGAUCAUCAUUGCUGGUAGUGGUCGGCAUUCAGCUGCACCAACAGAUGAUGGAGAGGUAAAUAGUUAUGUUUUUCAUGUAGUCCAGUCAUGCAUGAUUUUACCCAAAACAAAGUAUGUUUGCAUUUCCUUAAUCCAAUCAUCCGAUUUACAUGGGAUAUUUCCUGUAGCAUGAUCAUACCUUGAGCUCAAAUUUAAAAUAAUUUGUUCUAUACUGUAGCAUUGGAGGAUAUUAACUUUUGUCAUUCAAGUUUCUUUGUGUGGAAGUGACAACUAAACAUUUGAGACUGGAUAUCAGUGACCAAACAUUCCUCAGUCAUUGAAAUAUUGGGGAUGUUAGCUUUUUACAAAUCAUCCAAAUUAUUCAACUUUCUGAAUUUAAGCAGUUUGAUCAAGGAUAUGAUCAUAGGCAUUUAAGAUCUGAUUAAAUGUUUGCAAAACAUUCAUGGUCUAUCAGCAGUAUAUUCCUUCAACUAUUAUAUACCUCAGAAUGUUCUUGUGUGUUACUAUAUUCAUAUACUACCGCCGGUUAAUGUUUUUCUUUAGAAACUUGGGGUCAUACCAUUCUGUUCCAGUGAUUCAGUUGUUUUCUUCCAUUGAAUUGUCAUCAAAGAAGCACAAGAAAACUUUAUUCUUCUAUUUCACUAGAUUUUAAAUUUCGCCUUAUUUGAAGCCUGUGAAUCUGUUUUUCUAGGGAAGGAAGCAAUUCACUUCUCUAGGAGGACUUUGUAAAUGAUUUAACUGUAAGAGGAAUGAGUUUUCAUGACAGUCAUUUGCAUUUGAUUUGCACAUUCAAGUGCACCUAGAAUAAAAACAGCAAUACGAGUUUGUAUUCGGUCUUGCUUAUGUUGACACUCAGAUUAGUAUCGUCGAAUUGGCAAGUUGUAUGAAUGGCGAAGAGGAGAGCAUGGAAGGCUCGGGCUUGGAGAUGAUAAGAGCAGCAAAAUGGUUUCUCAGAAAGUCCAACUCCUGGUGGGAACAAACAUUGUCCAGGUAUCUUGUUGAGGCACUCAUUCAGUGGCAUUGACUAUCGAUGGACGAAUUUUCUCGGUACAUGUAAGAUUUAGAAUUGUGGGGUGCAUUUGGUGAACAAGGUCAAUCGCCAUUGUGAGAAGAGUUAUGAAAACUUGUUUAGUCGCAAAAUAGUUUGGAAGAGGAGAGACCAUGGGGGCUUCGGUCAUGGGAAGAAGGUUACAACUGGCCAAGCAACUUACCACCCCCGAAAGAUCUCACCAAUUCUGAGGGCAGACGGAGUGCUAAGCUUGUUGCUUGUGAGGGACGACUCGCUUUUGCAAUUACAACAUGUAACGAUAACUCGAAGAGUCCCGUACAAGUUUUUUUUUUAAAAAACAUAGAGCUGUCACUUCAAUGGUCCCUAGAAUCGGUCCCAUGAAUAUAGAAGGAGAUAAAUACAGAUAUAUAAUUCAAAAUACAUGAUCGAAAUGCUAACUCUAAAUAAUGACACUCAUCGAACUCUGGACCUAUCGAUUAUGAAAUCAUGCAUCCUCAGUUAUGGAGUCCCGUACAAGCUCAAGAACAUAGUAAAAUAAGACUUGGUAGCACAAAAUGUAGUGCAUGAUCUAUGAUUAGAGGUUGGUUGCCAAAAUUUUUAGAAAUUUUGAGUUGAUGAACAGAUAAUCGAAUUGGAUGAUUAAAUACAUCAUUGUAAGUAGAGUUUAGGGGGAAAAUUUAUAUAGUCAAUUUAUGACAAAUUUUAUUAGAUAAUGAUGAAACACGUCAAUCUAAAAUUCUAAAUAGGAAAAAAUAAAUAAAUAGGAAAAAAUAAAUUUGUUUUGGCCAGAGAUUAUUGAUUUAUGCUAUUGAAUUAAGCCAUCAUUUUCUUCCAUUAAUUGUCUAGACAAAUUUAUUAAACAUCAAAUUUUGCAUAGAAUUUGAUCUGGUUCCACCCUCUGCCAGCCCAAUGUUGAAGCAUUGGGGCCGACAACCAAAAUCCACCACUUAAAGGGUAAACAAAUGGGUAAGAGUUAUAAGUACUAUACAGUGUUAGCUGCCACGUGGCCCACCA